Molecule: ribosomal RNA, 247 nt
Filed under: uncultured bacterium
Lineage: Bacteria
Description: partial 16S ribosomal RNA
Rfam family: Bacterial small subunit ribosomal RNA
Source: RNAcentral
GUAGGUGGCAAGCGUUGUCCGGAAUUACUGGGUGUAAAGGGAGCGCAGGCGGGAAGCCAAGUCAGCUGUGAAAACUACGGGCUUAACUUGUAGACUGCAGUUGAAACUGGUUUUCUUGAGUGAAGUAGAGGUUGGCGGAAUUCCGAGUGUAGCGGUGAAAUGCGUAGAUAUUCGGAGGAACACCGGUGGCGAAGGCGGCCAACUGGGCUUUAACUGACGCUGAGGCUCGAAAGUGUGGGGAGCAAAC